AAGAAAAUGGCAGAAUGGUCAUGUGGUUGACUUGAAAUCAACCUAAGGGGGUUCGAUUCCCUCUUUUCUCG
This 71-nucleotide transfer RNA is filed under the name Hymenochirus boettgeri (Congo dwarf clawed frog). RNAcentral's name for it is "tRNA-Ser". It matches the Rfam family "tRNA". From Rfam's summary of the family: Transfer RNA (tRNA) molecules are approximately 80 nucleotides in length. Their secondary structure includes four short double-helical elements and three loops (D, anti-codon, and T loops). The record is from RNAcentral. Lineage: Eukaryota; Metazoa; Chordata; Amphibia; Anura; Pipidae.